AAAAAAAAAAAACAAGAUCAAGGAAGAGCAAGGGCAUCUCAAACAAAUCUGCAGACCACACAGCACUCAGCCCCACCUCAUCCUUCUAUCGGGGUCCAGCCUCCCACCACACUUGACCUGUCCCCUACUGGCUAACACUUGUGUUCGCUCCAGGAUUUUGCUUUACCCAAAUAGGAUAAAUUCCUAGAAGUGCAGUUUCUCUCUCAGAGAAUAUGUGCAUUUGAAAUCUACACUCUUGCCCAGUGUAGUUUUGAAAACACAGUAGCAUUCUCGAGCCCCUGAACAAGUCACGUGGGGGGACCUGUUUCUGACACCCUUUCCUACCCCAGCAAGGAUGCCGUGUGGCCGGAAGCCAAAAAUUCCCAAAAAGGUAAGUUGAACUUUCUACUGUGUGGGCUGAGGUUGGGGGCGGACGUGGCCUCCGAGGUUGACCCCUGUAGCUUUCCUAGGAGAAGAGCCGUUGGGAGCGUUCGGUAGUUUUGGGUUUUAUAAACAAAGACAGGGUUUGGGGAGGUGAGCCAGGACUGUGCAGCCAGCAGCACUGCGAGAGCCAGUAUUUAUUUCUCCAGCACGGUUAGAAGUUAAAUAUGGUCAAAACAUAUUCUUCUUUUUAAUUUACACAAACAAAUAUGUUCCCAGGCUGACACCUCCGAUGCCAAGUUUCUAGGGGAAACGAAAUUCUGCUGUGAGAUCGUAAACCACUAGAGAGAGAGGGAUGGGAAUGGAGAAGCCACGGCGCGUUGGCUGUCCACGCCCAGAACCCGGCUGAGCCGCUGAGAGGUGUCUCUGUCUCGGUUGCAGAUGGACCUGCCAGAAAUCUCAGCCCGAGGAACCGUGCGGGCGUGUCAAGGCCAGAGGAUGGAAGAGACUCGGGUUCUGAUAAAAGGAGACCUGCUUGGCUUGGCAUCUGCUCUCCUGCCCAUCAGGAGGCUGCAACGCUGUUUCCAGAGCCGCCUGAUGAAUCAGGGGGGAGAGAGGCACAAGGACACCGGUUCCAGCCCCGGAGAUUCUGUCCUGUGAUUUAUGGGGACAGGGACUGGCAUCGGAAGGUUUUAUGAUUGCACAUGAGACUCCAGUGUGCAGCCAGGAAGGAAACCGGCUCGAUGGGAGGAUCCGCACUCGGGAUGUUGGAAGGGGCUGCGUGGUCUCUUGGGGACCAGGACGUGGGCUUCUCCCAGAGCAGCCUCGGGGGAGAACCGAGGCUCACGCCCCUGGGAGACUCCAGGGCUUCCUCACACGCUCCCAGCUUGAUGGGAGACACAGUGGGGGGCUUUGCUUUUAGACACCAGACUUGAUCACGUGUCCCUGUGGGAUCACAGAGCCGAGGUGAAGACCUGUGGCUUGAACUGGAACCUCUCAUGAGGCUUACGGACAGGAGCGUGUGUUUGCUGGCUCCCUCCACGGAGAAGUGAGACCGAGCGGCUCCUUGUGUGUGCAGGGAGCACCCUGUCACCCGGGGUUACGGGCUCUAAACACCACUGUCCAUUAGAACUCGGGGCUCCGUGGAGAAGCGGCCAGUUCCCAGAUCUGCGUGCGGCAAGAGAUGUUGCAGGGGAACUGGGAACGUCUUGUCAUUGGGAAGCAAGGCGGGUGUCGGUGACUCCUGGGGUCAAAUCCACGAGGAUACGGGAGACCACACGAAGAGGCUUGGCCGAAAGGGACAGCUUGAACAUCCACAAGAGUCGUCACCGCAGAGUGGUGCUGGGGGCUGACGUCAUGGAGAAAGCUAACCAGAGUUCGGGCCCUGAAUGAAUGGAAUCCAAAAUAGCGAGACUAGGAAACAGAGAGAAGUCAAACAGGGGUCUAAGUGAGCUUCCAGCUCUACCAACUUACAAGAAGCACGGGACAGAGAAGAUCCUUCAGGGGGCGCACCAAGCAAAAUCCAGACCCCCCAGAAGCUCCACAAAACCCUGUUGCUUCAACAAAAAAAAUUACAAGGGAAGACAUGGAGAGGGGAAGGACACACACCAGCCAAUGGGGACAGUUUCCAUGAAGACUUAGUUUCUCAAUAUCCUCCAAAUCUAUGAGCUCCAUUUGGAUCCCGAUUGGACCCAACUAUAAAGAAAACAUCGACGAGACAACUAGAGAAACUGGAAUCCUGAUCGGAUAUUUGCUGAUAUUAAAAACAUCCCUGUCGCGGGGGCGCCGUGGCGCAUGCCCGUCAUCCCAGCAGCUCGGGAGGCCGAGGCAGGAGGAUCAUGAGUUCAAAGCCAGCCUCGGCAAUUUAGCUAAGUCCCUGAGCAACUUAGCCCAGACCCUGUCUCAAAAUAAAAUUAUAAAAAAGGGCUGGGAAUGUGGCGGCUCCGGGAUUAAGUGCCCCUGGGUUCAAUCCCCAGUACCAAAAAAAAAAAAAAAAAAUCACUGUUGGCCUGGGGACGUAGGUCAGUAAAAAGUUACUGUUUAUAGGAGUGGAGGAGGUAAAAAGAAAUUUUUUUCUUGGGAGUCAUAUACAGAAAUAUUUGCAAAAGAAAUAACCAACGUCAGGAAUUUGUUUCAAAAUAGUCUGGGAGGAGAGAAGGGGAGGAGGGGAGGGAGGUGUCCGUGGCUGAGGGCUGGCGAUUGCCGUGGCUGGGCUCCUGACUCCUGACCACACACUCUGUCCCUCGCCCCGUGUGUGCAAGAAGCUUUUCAAAAUAAAAAGGAAAAAAUAAGGAAAACUAGCCUUUUCCUGCCCUUCUCUCAAAAGGAUCAGGUUGAUCGGCCACCCGGGGCCUGCAUCCCUGGGGCCAGCCUGGGCAGCAAGCUCAGUAUACACAUCUUGAAGCAGCCCACCCCCCGUCUCCAUGGCAACCAGCAUCCAGAAGCCUCCCACCCCCAAGAGGGUCAGGCCAGGCUGCCAGGGUCACGCCGCUGCUCCUCCCUUGGGAGAGUCCCCUAGAUGGGUCUUCGACCAGAGCGGCCUCUCGGCACCCUGUCCCCCUUCCUCUUGCUGCCUCUGUGCAGCCCCUGAAGGAGGAGAGGACAGUUAGCGGGAAGAAGAGACCCUGAAUCAGAUCCAGGUUCAAAUGCUGACCUUCGGGUUCCUCAUCUGUAAAGUGGGUGUAACGGUCCCUCCACGAACUCAGCAGAUCUUUGCAAAGGAAGAUCCACGGCAAAGGGAGCUGGGGGGAGGAUCCAGCUCUACCUGGUGGAACCCGGCAGACCCUCCAGAAUGAAGGGUGAUCUCAGUACCGCGGAAAAGUCAGGAUCAAAUUGAGAGGCAGGGGUGACCCCAUCGAAGGUCAGGUCCCAGUUUUCGAAUCAAACUGGCAGUCGCCCUUGGAGAGCCUGACUCGGAGCCCACCUUCCAUGAGCCAAAGUCACCACCCCUCCAGCUACUCAUCACCUCGCUACCGCAAACACUGGAAGAACUUCGCUUGGUGCCUCCAUUUCCAUGGGGCAAGGACCACCUCUGGAGGGAGCAGUGGGCUUGGAGAAGAGAGGUCGCCCACCCAGGCCACACUCUUGGUACACGGCCCCCGUCUCUUAUGCUCUGGGGUCUGUGUCCUGAUUACGCGUUGCAGUUCAGUAACAGCAGAAAAUCAGUGCUACGAGGAAGCCGGCUUCAUUUUGCAAAGGAACAAAGUAGCCCAGAGAGGCCAAGUCAUAUGUCUGAGGCCACACAGUGAACGAGCAGCUAAGCCCAUGUCCAGGCUCCUUGGGGACAAGUGCAGGGAAGCCCCACACAGUGGGGGAAGCCAACUCUUAACUGCCCCGUUUGAUCCUGUCCCAGAGUAGGGUGACCAGCUGUGCCAGUUUGCUCGGAACUGCUGAGCUUGGGACUGGGGACUUUCCGGGCUAAAUCAGGAAGGUCCUGGCCAUCGCCCCACCUGUGGGGUGCAACGGCCUCACUCACACUCCCUUCCACAGAGGGGAGGCAUCUAAAUGCAGGAAACAAGGGUCUGGGAUGCAGCCAGCUAAGGAGAGCCAGGGAGACCUCACAGAGGGUUAGGGGCUCCAUGCUGCUGGUACCCUGCGACCGACCACCCACAUCAUGAGAGGCUUCAGCACCUUUCUUAGGUCCCCUCCCAUCUGUCCUGCCCCCAGUAGCCAGUGUCCUUUAUAUGCUGCAAUCGGAUGACCCUCUGCCUCGGUUUACAAACCUUGGUGGCUCCCCAUUGAGAUUUUUCUUUUGCUUGGGAAGCUUUGCAGGUGCAGGAACCCCUGGGUGGGCUUGUCCCUGACCACCUGUCGGAACCUCCCUCUGGAACCAACCUGGCCCUUACAAGAUUCCAAGCAGGGUCAGGCUCACCUAAGACGCAUUAGCGACACCCUCCCUCUCCCCAGGACUCCCCCACCCCACCCCACCUCUUCUCUUCCAAGAUACCAGCCUAACUGGGAUCACAGGCUGAUGGACCUAAUCGACUCUUAAUAUCAAGUCUCCCCUUCUGGCCCGACCUCCACCUGAGAUCACAGAAAGCCACCGAGACCCCCUGUUCUCAAUUUCAGGCAGGUCUGCAUGAUGUCACAGGAUGGAAGAUCAUCCCCCCCAAAUGACCGGUGGCAGCCUGGAUCAGGGGUAUUUUUUGUUGUUGUUAAUUAGUGUCCCUCUUCUGCCCACUCCUUAGCUCUGUUCACAUCCCUCACCUGGCACUAGCUUAGGAAAAAAAAAAAAAAUCCAGGCAAAAAAAAAAAAAAAUAGGAGCCCAA
Non-coding RNA from Ictidomys tridecemlineatus (thirteen-lined ground squirrel), 4629 nucleotides. NCBI's taxonomy places the organism in Eukaryota, Metazoa, Chordata, Mammalia, Rodentia, Sciuridae. The record is from RefSeq and is a predicted model, not a curated record.